This 492-nucleotide ribosomal RNA is filed under the name uncultured bacterium. Its description in RNAcentral is "partial 16S ribosomal RNA". It matches the Rfam family "Bacterial small subunit ribosomal RNA", at positions 29 to 507 of the family's 1533-position model. The record is from RNAcentral.
AGUGAACGCUGGCGGUAGGCCUAACACAUGCAAGUCGAACGGCAGCACAGUAAGAGCUUGCUCUUACGGGUGGCGAGUGGCGGACGGGUGAGGAAUACAUCGCAAUCUACUUUUUCGUGGGGGAUAACGUAGGGAAACUUACGCUAAUACCGCAUACGACCUACGGGUGAAAGCAGGGGAUCUUCGGACCUUGCGCGAUUGAAUGAGCCGAUGUCGGAUUAGCUAGUUGGCGGGGUAAAGGCCCACCAAGGCGACGAUCCGUAGCUGGUCUGAGAGGAUGAUCAGCCACAGUGGAACUGAGACACGGUCCAGACUCCGACGGGAGGCAGCAGUGGGGAAUAGUGGACAAUGGGCGCAAGCCUGAUCCAGCCAUACCGCGUGGGUGAAGAAGGCCUUCGUGUUGUAAAGCCCUUUUGGUGGGAAAGAAAAGCAGCAGGUUAAUACCCCGCUGUUCUGACGGUACCCAAAGAAUAAGCACCGGCUAACUUCGUG